GUCAUAUUUUAGAGAAUCAGCUUUCAAGGGCCUUCCUGCAGCUUCCCGGGAGCACAAGACAGAUU
Non-coding RNA from Canis lupus familiaris (dog), 65 nucleotides. NCBI's taxonomy places the organism in Eukaryota, Metazoa, Chordata, Mammalia, Carnivora, Canidae. The record is from Rfam.